GAGAGAGAGAGAGAGAGAGAGAGUUUUAUUUACUUUCUAUUGGAGUUGCUUCUAUGAAUCCCUUUAAACUAAUUGAGAUCAGUUACAUGUAUCUAUCUUUGCUAGUUUGCCUUCUUAAAGGCCAUACAUCAAACGCUUAUCUGUUUAUCAUAUCUGUCUCAGUGAUAGUGGUUCCAUCUAAAGUUCACAGAAUCUCUUUCAUUUGCUUGUAAUGCUUUGAAUGGAAUUAUUUAGGCUAUCCUGUGUAUAUCCACUUUAGUAAAAUGACUCUAGGCUAUCCUGUGUAAUGCUUGGACUGUAUGUAUUUGUUGAUGUUGAUGAUUAAUGAAGCUUCAGUCACCUCCCUUUAAGAUUUAUGGAUUUAUUCAUUUUGAGGAAAAAUGAGCCUUGCUAGACCUUGUAAAUUCUUAUUGUUUCCUGUUGUGACCUAGGCAACUGCCUGGGAAUACCAACGACCUAGGGCAUUAGGACAUCACUUGGGUGAGACUUUCCUACACAUAAACAGGUUUCAAAUGCAUCAAUUGUGUCUUUUAUAAUUUACUUACCAUUAAAUACUCCAGCUUGAAGUACUAAAUGCUUUCUUUUUUUGUAAGUUGGUCAAGUUGGUGUUCAAUAUAAAAUAUGUAUUUCCCUAUGUUUUAUCAACAAUAUUCUCAUGUACAAAUUUGGAAUUCCACAGGCAAGUCUCUAUAGAGGAAAGGAGAAGCCAAAGCUCAUGAGCUUAAUGUAAUGUUUAUUGAAACCAGUGCAAAAGCUGGCUUUAAUAUAAAGGCACUGUUUUGGAAAAUUGCUGCUGCUUUACCAGGAAUGGAAACACUCUCUUCAACAAAGCAAGAAGACAUGGUUGAUGUGAACUUGAAGUCUACUAGUGGUGGCGCAACACAAUCCCAGCCCCAGUCAGGUGGAUGCUCUUGUAGAUUGCGGCAUUGUUUUAAAAUUUCGAGCAACUAUGCUCUAUUUCUUGCUGUUUGGGUUUUCAGCCAUCUUCGCCCCAGAUCUGUAAAGGUUUCACUUAGAUUCUUUUUUCCUUCAAAAUACUUCUUAUCGGUUAUAAUCUUUUACUGCAUUGCUUGGGAAAUUCUCUUAGGGAACACAUGGGUCUGAAGAGCUAGGUGUAGAACUAGCAUUGGGGAAUUUGUUGUGUUGGUUAAAUGGUCAUAACCUCUGAGAUAUUUAGUAAGAUUUACUGGCUUGAAUAGAUUUUGGUAUUAAGCAUUUGUAAAAUGAAUAUUGGGUACAUUCUGCACU
This is a long non-coding RNA of Quercus robur (English oak), 1248 nucleotides long. RefSeq lists it as uncharacterized. The record is from RefSeq and is a predicted model, not a curated record. The transcript is spliced from 2 exons. NCBI's taxonomy places the organism in Eukaryota, Viridiplantae, Streptophyta, Magnoliopsida, Fagales, Fagaceae.